This 253-nucleotide ribosomal RNA is filed under the name uncultured bacterium. RNAcentral describes it as "partial 16S ribosomal RNA". It matches the Rfam family "Bacterial small subunit ribosomal RNA", at positions 524 to 776 of the family's 1533-position model. The record is from RNAcentral.
UACAGAGGUCUCAAGCGUUGUUCGGAUUCAUUGGGCGUAAAGGGUGUGUAGGUGGCGCCGUAAGUCGGGUGUGAAAUUUCGGAGCUUAACUCCGAAACUGCAUUCGAUACUGCGGUGCUUGAGGACUGGAGAGGAGACUGGAAUUCAUGGUGUAGCAGUGAAAUGCGUAGAGAUCAUGAGGAAGACCAGUGGCGAAGGCGAGUCCCUGGACAACUCCUGACACUGAGGCACGAAAGCUAGGGGAGCAAACAGG